Molecule: non-coding RNA, 104 nt
Organism: Canis lupus familiaris (dog)
Lineage: Eukaryota; Metazoa; Chordata; Mammalia; Carnivora; Canidae
Source: Rfam
AGGAGGAACAGCCCCAGUGGCGGGGCAGCUCUGGAAACCUGGAUUCAGCUCCGGCAGGAACUCCGGAGCUCUCUGUCUGCAGGGCCUGGAGGCUCCGGGGCGGG